AUCCAGCUGACGAGUCUCAAAUAGGACGAAACGUGCGUCCUGUUU
This is a non-coding RNA of Schistosoma curassoni, 45 nucleotides long. The record is from Rfam. NCBI's taxonomy places the organism in Eukaryota, Metazoa, Platyhelminthes, Trematoda, Strigeidida, Schistosomatidae.